Molecule: long non-coding RNA, 588 nt
Organism: Diceros bicornis minor
Lineage: Eukaryota; Metazoa; Chordata; Mammalia; Perissodactyla; Rhinocerotidae
Exons: 4
Source: RefSeq, a predicted model, not a curated record
ACAAGAGAAAACCAGUAGGUGAAAGUUAUGUCACAUCAGUAUGUUAUCAAGUGUCAUGCCUGGGGGAAAGCCUGGCUGUCUAUGCAGAGGCUCUGGAAGAGAAAUUAGGUUGCUGACUGGCUGGAGAUAAUUUGCUCUAUGUAAUUCUGAAGACAUCAUUUCAGUGAAGAUCUCUUCUUGUAAUUCUUCAAGACGUUUUUCUUUGAGGGGAUCAUGCUAACAAAAUGGAAAAAUGCUUCUGACAUCUAAAAGAGUAUCUUUGCCAUCCAUCCUUUUGUUGUAGCUAUUAAAAUGUGUAGAUGCAAAAUUCUGACUCCAAUUACAAUGUGUGUGGAGGGUUUCCACACCACUAAGCAAUUCUUGGACACCAGCUGGGUGUCAUAUACUUCAACUCAAUUCUGACACUAUCUACCUGGAGAUGGUGUCAGAUCCCACAGGUUAAGGGUUCAGUGAUACAAGACUGCACCCCGCCCCUUUCAGAUGCCAACUGCAAGUCCAGGUUGUCACCUGUGCUUCUGACGGACUGGCUAUAGAUCGGAGGUUCCAGUGACCGCUCCUUGGGUUUGAUUACUUCACUAGAAUGCUCAC